RNAcentral lists this small RNA (27 nucleotides) under Bombyx mori (domestic silkworm). Its description in RNAcentral is "ovarian small RNA-23232". Lineage: Eukaryota; Metazoa; Arthropoda; Insecta; Lepidoptera; Bombycidae. The record is from RNAcentral.
UAGUUUGUCCGCGAUGCCAGAACUAUC